GUUUCCUACGGGAGGCAGCAGUGAGGAAUAUUGGUCAAUGGGGGAAACCCUGACGCAGCAACGCCGCGUGCGGGAUGAAGGCUUUCGGGUUGUAAACCGCUUUCAGCAGGGAAGAUAAUGACGGUACCUGCAGAAGAAGCCCCGGCUAACUACGUGCCAGCAGCCGCGGUAAUACGUAGGGGGCAAGCGUUAUCCGGAUUCAUUGGGCGUAAAGCGCGCGCAGGCGGGCCGCUAAGCGGGACCUCUAAUCUUGGGGCUCAACCUCAAGCCGGGUCCCGAACUGGCAGCCCCGAG
Molecule: ribosomal RNA, 294 nt
Filed under: uncultured bacterium
Lineage: Bacteria
Description: partial 16S ribosomal RNA
Rfam family: Bacterial small subunit ribosomal RNA
Source: RNAcentral